GAUGAUCUAUACAAUAUAAAUUUUCAAUCCAGCAGUAAAUUUCGUAAAAUUCAUAUUCGAUAGAUCAUUUGUUCACGAUAAACCACUUGUAAAGAUGGUCCACCGUAGCGUUAGCCUAAAUAAUUAUAAUCUUGAAAGCAAAUUUGCCAAAAAAAAUUGAAGACUUGAGGGUAGAUACACCAACCAGCCGUAUCAUUGAUAAGAAUCAAUAUUCUUGUUUUCUUGUGUGUGAUUAAAUAAUGGGACCUACCCAAGUGGCCCAAUAGUCCACUUUUUAUUUUCAAUCACUUAUUUUUUGUCUUUUUGGUUAAAAAAAUCUGUUGAUUACUUUUGUGUUAGAAGGAAACUUAAUUACGUCUGUGUAUAUACGACACAUUAUCGCUAAUCCAAUCCAAUCCAAUUCAAUAUGAAGCAUUUGUUUUUUACUUAUUUAUAGUUUUGGUCAAGUUAUUGUACUAGUACUAAUUCUAUAGUACUUUAUUCUAUUAGUUGAUAAUUUUUUACAUGUGGUGUAAUGACUGACUUUAUAGCUUUAUGAAUGAAUGAAAUUUUCUCGACAAAAAAAAAUCAAUAUGUUUGUUUUAUGAGUUUUAUGUUAAGUAAAAUACUUUGAGGUCAAAGAAUCAUUUCAUUAGCUUGAUUUAUUAACAUUACACGACACUAAGUUAACGUUUCGGAUAUGAAUUCUGCAUAGAAGAUUUUUUUUUGGGAGGUAGCUUGUAUUGGUUAUCAUUUUUUUAGGUUCACUGGUCAGGAAAGAUACAACACAAUCACAUGGAGUUCAUUGGGAAGACUAGCAUUCCUUAUAUAUCAAGAAUAAUGUCACUUUCCAUGUAUUUUUAAAAUAUUAAGUGUGUCAAUUGGAUAAUUUGAUUCAAAAUAAUAUAAC
This 889-nucleotide long non-coding RNA is filed under the name Trifolium pratense (red clover). RNAcentral's name for it is "long non-coding RNA (TPRA_LNC000396)". The record is from RNAcentral. Lineage: Eukaryota; Viridiplantae; Streptophyta; Magnoliopsida; Fabales; Fabaceae.